Molecule: ribosomal RNA, 427 nt
Filed under: uncultured bacterium
Lineage: Bacteria
Description: partial 16S ribosomal RNA
Rfam family: Bacterial small subunit ribosomal RNA
Source: RNAcentral
UGGGGAAUAUUGCACAAUGGGCGCAAGCCUGAUGCAGCCAUGCCGCGUGUAUGAAGAAGGCCUUCGGGUUGUAAAGUACUUUCAGCGGGGAGGAAGGUGUUGUGGUUAAUAACCACAGCAAUUGACGUUACCCGCAGAAGAAGCACCGGCUAACUCCGUGCCAGCAGCCGCGGUAAUACGGAGGGUGCAAGCGUUAAUCGGAAUUACUGGGCGUAAAGCGCACGCAGGCGGUCUGUCAAGUCGGAUGUGAAAUCCCCGGGCUCAACCUGGGAACUGCAUCCGAAACUGGCAGGCUUGAGUCUUGUAGAGGGGGGUAGAAUUCCAGGUGUAGCGGUGAAAUGCGUAGAGGUCUGGAGGAAUACCGGUGGCGAAGGCGGCCCCCUGGACAAAGACUGACGCUCAGGUGCGAAAGCGUGGGGAGCAAACA